This 74-nucleotide transfer RNA is filed under the name Podarcis lilfordi (Lilford's wall lizard). RNAcentral describes it as "tRNA.Lys". The record is from RNAcentral. Lineage: Eukaryota; Metazoa; Chordata; Lepidosauria; Squamata; Lacertidae.
GUCUUGGGAACAGCUCAGUUGGUAGAGCAUGAGACUCUUAAUCUCAGUCAUAGGUUUGAACCCCACGUUGGGCA